AUCAUUAGGUCUACCCCUAGAUAAUGCCACGCUCAGUAUGAAAGACUAUUGCUCCAUGGCCAGGGCCCGCUUAAGCCUCUGAAGGACCGGUAAAGUAAAUGUCAAUCAACUACUCUUAACAACCAGUAAACUGAGCAGGUAGUUUAAUUUCGAGUCCAGAAUGGAAACAAUGUUGAUUUCAACAUAAACACAGACCUAGAUUUGACGUUUAUCCAAAAUGAUUUUUUUACAAAAACUACGUAGUUUGCUGUUCGUUUUGUUAUUGUAUGAAAUCGUGGUUGAAGUGAGGUCACGAAAUAUAGAAAGGAAACCUAAAAAGGACGCUAAAACAAAGUCGAAGACACUAGAUGGACGUAAAAUCAAAGCCAAAGGCAAAGGAAAAAAGCAAUUCUUCCCAAUGCCAAUUGGGCAAGCAAGCUACUGCAAGUGCAAGAAAAUUUCACUCAAGGGGCGGGAGAGAUGAAUGAAUACCGACAGCCGCUAUGAUAAGUAGACUGAUUUUGAUAUAAAUGGCGCGUAACGUGCUACAAAAUGAUCGCAAUAUUGAAUAUUUAAAAACAAAACUAUCAUUCGUUGAAUCAUCUCAGAUUUAGUAUUCCUUUCGCCGUAGCUGGCCAGUUUCCAGGUAGCCCGUAUCCAAUGCCUGAGUACAAGCCAGUCUCCGCUAUGAACCAGGAGAUGAAGAUUGUGAAAGGUUUACCUCGGGGCUAUGAUUGUUCGCAUUCACAACAUGGAUGUUGUUGGGAUGGUCGCACUCCUGCUUUUGGUCCUUCUGGAAAAGGUUGCCCACAAUGUAGAGACGUUUACAAAGACUUUUGCAAUAGAACGAAAAAACUUUGUGAUUGUCCAAUGGUUGCUGACUAUUGCAGGGUGACGUGCAACUUGUGCAGCAAAAGCAAAUCAAGUAAAACCUGUCAAUCAUCUAAGCACAAUUGCUGUUGGGAUGGCAGGACGCCAGCCAAGGGUCCUAAAGGCAAAGGGUGCCCAAAAAUAAAAGAUGAUCCUGGAGCAAAUUGCAAACUGUACGAAUCAGAAUGUUUGCGAAAUCCCUACUACAUGUGGAAAAAAUGCAGAAAGUCUUGCAUUGCGAAUCUACCGCCGAUCGAGCCGUUCAUUCAGGGAUUUGGUCCAGUUAAUCAACUUGGCAUUCCGCCACCCGCAUGCGGGCAACCACCAAUGUUUCCCGGCAUGCCAGCAGGGCAUGCCCCAUACCCUGGUAUGCAGCAAGGCAUGAAUAGCACCAUAGGGAAAAAAGGUUCAACAAAGAAUGUAAAACAGGAAAAAAACAUACAUAGUCAUUAUCGAUAUUGAGUGAUUUUAAUUUAAAAAGGUCCUUUAUCAUGUACAGACGGCCUCGAAAUAGAAACACUUUAUUAUAUCAUAAUAAUAUCUUAUCAUGAUAUUUGUGACAAGAUAAAAUAGACAUGAUAUUUGUGCCAAGAUAAAAUAGACAUGAUAUUUGUGUCAAGAUAAAAUAGUGAAAAUUUUGAAUUUCCAUGUGCUGUAACUUCGUGUUCGGUUUUACCACUAACUGAGAUUUCACAUUUCCGUUCUUGAGACAUCAGUAAACAUAUAUAAUGAAGAAAAUAUUUUAAUUUUUUUUUUUACAAAUCAGCAGCGGGCGGAAUCCUAAACUUUCCUGCAAUCUGUUUUACAAUAUCUGACAACGGUCCGGAAUCCUAUAUUUUAUGUCAGUCGAGCGAAAGCGUAUUUUGUCUUGUUUUUCUAAAUAUAUGGAUCAAAUGAUUAUCACGAUAUAUUGAAGUGAAAUUUAGUAAAUUAACCAGUUCAAGUUUUGAUUGUUUAUGUUUUUGUCCCCAUUGCUGAGGCUGACUACACAAUGAUAAUAAUACGACCGAACACCGCUUUUUUGUAAAAAUAUAAAUACGUUACUUGAUUUACUGUUUUGCUCGGCCCGGAUAGAAAAAUAUUUCCCCUCGGUCUCAAAAACGUUUUGGAUACCUCAGGAAAAUAUUUUUCUAUCCGGACCUCGCAGCCAGAAAUAACAAUAUAAGCUAAAAACAACUAUCUACAACAAAUACUUCACCAAAAAAAUUAAAGACCGUAGAAAUAUCACUUUAAGCCCUAGAUAUCUCGCAAUAAGCAAUCUUUGUCAUAUAUA
Molecule: unclassified non-coding RNA, 2122 nt
Filed under: Dendronephthya gigantea
Lineage: Eukaryota; Metazoa; Cnidaria; Anthozoa; Malacalcyonacea; Nephtheidae
Description: uncharacterized LOC114518760, transcript variant X2
Source: RNAcentral